UGAGGAAUAUUGGUCAAUGGGCGCAAGCCUGAACCAGCCAUGCCGCGUGCAGGAAGACGGUCCUAUGGAUUGUAAACUGCUUUUAUUUGGGAAUAAACCUAUUUACGUGUAGAUAGCUGAAGGUACCAAAUGAAUAAGCACCGGCUAACUCCGUGCCAGCAGCCGCGGUAAAACGUAGGAGGCAAGCGUUAUCCGGAGUUACUGGGCGUAAAGAGCGUGUAGGCGGCAGUGCAAGUGGCUUGUGAAAGC
This 249-nucleotide ribosomal RNA is filed under the name uncultured Fluviicola sp. RNAcentral describes it as "partial 16S ribosomal RNA". It matches the Rfam family "Bacterial small subunit ribosomal RNA", at positions 355 to 601 of the family's 1533-position model. The record is from RNAcentral. Lineage: Bacteria; Pseudomonadati; Bacteroidota; Flavobacteriia; Flavobacteriales; Crocinitomicaceae.